AAGGACUGGUGGAGCGCUUAGAAGUGAGAAUGCCGGUAUGAGUAGCGAAAGAUGGGUGAGAAUCCCAUCCACCGAAUGCCUAAGGUUUCCUGAGGAAGGCUCGUCCGCUCAGGGUUAGUCGGGACCUAAGCCGAGGCUGAAAAGCGUAGGCGAUGGACAACAGGUUGAUAUUCCUGUACCACCAAACUCCGUUUGAGCAAUGGGGGGACGCAGGAGGAUAGGGUAAGCGCACUGCUGGAUAUGUGCGUCUAAGCAGUUAGGCUGCAAGCGAGGAAAAUCCCGUUUGCGUGAAGGCUGAGCUGUGACAGCGAGGGAAAUAUAGUACCGAAGUUCCUGAUUCCACACUGCCAAGAAAAGCCUCUAGCGAGGAUAAGGUGCCCGUACCGCAAACCGACACAGGUAGGCGAGGAGAGAAUCCUAAGGUGAGCGAGAGAACUCUCGUUAAGGAACUCGGCAAAAUGACCCCGUAACUUCGGGAGAAGGGGUGCUCUUUGGGGUGUUAAAGCCUCGAAGAGCCGCAGUGAAUAGGCCCAGGCGACUGUUUAGCAAAAACACAGGUCUCUGCGAAGCCGCAAGGCGAAGUAUAGGGGCUGACGCCUGCCCGGUGCUGGAAGGUUAAGAGGAGGGGUUAGCGCAAGCGAAGCUCUGAAUUGAAGCCCCAGUAAACGGCGGCCGUAACUAUAACGGUCCUAAGGUAGCGAAAUUCCUUGUCGGGUAAGUUCCGACCCGCACGAAAGGCGUAACGAUCUGGGCACUGUCUCAACGAGAGACUCGGUGAAAUUAUAGUACCUGUGAAGAUGCAGGUUACCCGCGACAGGACGGAAAGACCCCGUGGAGCUUUACUGUAGCCUGAUAUUGAAUUUCGGUACAGCUUGUACAGGAUAGGUAGGAGCCUUGGAAGCCGGAGCGCCAGCUUCGGUGGAGGCAUCGGUGGGAUACUACCCUGGCUGUAUUGAAAUUCUAACCCAUGCCCCUGAUCGGGGCAGGAGACAGUGUCAGGUGGGCAGUUUGACUGGGGCGGUCGCCUCCUAAAAAGUAACGGAGGCGCCCAAAGGUUCCCUCAGAAUGGUUGGAAAUCAUUCGAAGAGUGUAAAGGCAUAAGGGAGCUUGACUGCGAGACCUACAAGUCGAGCAGGGACGAAAGUCGGGCUUAGUGAUCCGGUGGUUCCGCAUGGAAGGGCCAUCGCUCAACGGAUAAAAGCUACCCCGGGGAUAACAGGCUUAUCUCCCCCAAGAGUCCACAUCGACGGGGAGGUUUGGCACCUCGAUGUCGGCUCAUCGCAUCCUGGGGCUGUAGUCGGUCCCAAGGGUUGGGCUGUUCGCCCAUUAAAGCGGUACGCGAGCUGGGUUCAGAACGUCGUGAGACAGUUCGGUCCCUAUCCGUCGUGGGCGCAGGAAAUUUGAGAGGAGCUGUCCUUAGUACGAGAGGACCGGGAUGGACGCACCGCUGGUGUACCAGUUGUUCUGCCAAGAGCAUCGCUGGGUAGCUAUGUGCGGAAGGGAUAAGUGCUGAAAGCAUCUAAGCAUGAAGCCCCCCUCGAGAUGAGAUUUCCCAUAGCGUCAAGCUAGUAAGACCCCUGAAAGAUGAUCAGGUUGAUAGGUUUGAGGUGGAAGC
RNAcentral lists this ribosomal RNA (1615 nucleotides) under Cytobacillus praedii. RNAcentral's name for it is "bacterial LSU rRNA". It matches the Rfam family "Bacterial large subunit ribosomal RNA", at positions 1265 to 2874 of the family's 2925-position model. The record is from RNAcentral. Lineage: Bacteria; Bacillati; Bacillota; Bacilli; Caryophanales; Bacillaceae.